This is an unclassified non-coding RNA of Pongo abelii (Sumatran orangutan), 148 nucleotides long. It matches the Rfam family "Metazoan signal recognition particle RNA". Rfam says of the family: The signal recognition particle (SRP) is a universally conserved ribonucleoprotein. It is involved in the co-translational targeting of proteins to membranes. The record is from Ensembl. NCBI's taxonomy places the organism in Eukaryota, Metazoa, Chordata, Mammalia, Primates, Hominidae.
GCUGGGCGUGGUGGUGUGCGCCUGUAGUCCCAGCUACUCAGGAAGCCAAGAUGGGAGAAUGGCUUGAGCCCGGGAGGUCAAGGCUGCAGUGAGCUGUGAUUGCACCACUGCACUGCAGCUUGGGCAACAGAGCCAGACCCCAUCUCAA